Molecule: ribosomal RNA, 468 nt
Filed under: uncultured bacterium
Lineage: Bacteria
Description: partial 16S ribosomal RNA
Rfam family: Bacterial small subunit ribosomal RNA
Source: RNAcentral
GACGAACGCUGGCGGCGUGCUUAACACAUGCAAGUCGAACGGAAAGGCCCUGCUUUUGUGGGGUGCUCGAGUGGCGAACGGGUGAGUAACACGUGAGUAACCUGCCCUUGACUUUGGGAUAACUUCAGGAAACUGGGGCUAAUACCGGAUAGGAGCUCCUGCUGCAUGGUGGGGGUUGGAAAGGUUCGGCGGUUGGGGAUGGACUCGCGGCUUAUCAGCUUGUUGGUGGGGUAGUGGCUUACCAAGGCUUUGACGGGUAGCCGGCCUGAGAGGGUGACCGGGAACGUUAGGACGGGGAUGAGACACAGACCCCAAUCGGACGCGACGGUGGAGAAGAUUACACUACAGGAUGGAGCCUGAUGUGGCGACGCGGCGUGGGGGAAGUCGAGCAUUAGGUUGUUAACCGAUGCCGCAUGAGAAGGGGCGUGAGUGACGGUAAUGGGUAAAGAAGCACCGGCUAACUACGUG